Molecule: ribosomal RNA, 497 nt
Filed under: uncultured bacterium
Lineage: Bacteria
Description: partial 16S ribosomal RNA
Rfam family: Bacterial small subunit ribosomal RNA
Source: RNAcentral
GAUGAACGCUGGCGGCGUGCCUAAUACAUGCAAGUCGAGCGAACAGAUGAGGAGCUUGCUCCUCUGACGUUAGCGGCGGACGGGUGAGUAACACGUGGAUAACCUACCUAUAAGACUGGGAUAACUUCGGGAAACCGGAGCUAAUACCGGAUAAUAUAUUGAACCGCAUGGUUCAAUAGUGAAAGACGGUUUUGCUGUCACUUAUAGAUGGAUCCGCGCCGCAUUAGCUAGUUGGUAAGGUAACGGCUUACCAAGGCAACGAUGCGUAGCCGACCUGAGAGGGUGAUCGGCCACACUGGAACUGAGCCGCGGUCCAGACUCCUACGGGAGGCAGCAGUAGGGAAUCUUACGCAAUGGGCGAAAGCCUGACGGAGCAACGCCGCGUGAGUGAUGAAGGUCUUCGGAUCGUAAAACUCUGUUAUUAGGGAAGAACAAAUGUGUAAGUAACUAUGCACGUCUUGACGGUACCGAAUCAGAAAGCCACGGCUAACUACGUG